Long non-coding RNA from Pollicipes pollicipes, 554 nucleotides. RefSeq lists it as uncharacterized. The transcript is spliced from 3 exons. The record is from RefSeq and is a predicted model, not a curated record. NCBI's taxonomy places the organism in Eukaryota, Metazoa, Arthropoda, Thecostraca, Pollicipedomorpha, Pollicipedidae.
CAAUGUAUAAAAGGUGGUCAAAGGCAACCCAGGCAUAAGGUGUUUAGUCGCCUCUGACCAAUCAUGCGUCUGUUGCCAUUAAUUGUCGUGUUUUGUCUGGCGCUGGUGGUCGCUGAAGGUGGAAGGUGUAGCAAAUUCGGCCAGACGUGCGGAAAAUGGAAAAAGGAUGUCUGCCGCUGGUGCUGGAAACCUCACAGGCGUCUCUGCUGUCUUCGGGGCGACACAUUCAGUGAAUGCAGGAGGAAAUGCCAUUUCCCAAGUCGCUGCAGCACCCUAAACGGCAACUGUCACAAAGGAUGGUGCUGCGUCUUCUGCAAAGGAAAACAUUGCAAGAAAGGCUAGCUGCACCACUUGCUGUCAGCUGCCGCUGUCGUCAAGGGAUGGAUAACGACUGCACUGACACCAGAUGUGAAGUGACUGCAUGCACAAGGAAGACCCGUGCUAUGUUGGUGGCAUAACAGCAAGGCCGUACGUAAUUCUUAACAGGUGUUUAUGCGAACCGGACAUUUAGCUGCUUGUAGUUGGGCUUUACGUUGAAUACAAUUACGGAACCA